UUCUUACUAGAAUUUAUUGUAAGUAACUCCUGCUCAAUGAAUUUUAAAUAGCCGCGGAAAUUUAACCGUGCUAAGGUAGCAUAAUCAUUAGCCCCCUAAUUAGGGGCUCGUAUGAAUGGAGACACUUUUUAACAUCUUUAUUAAUUAGUAACUUUUAAGUUAAAUUAAGAAUAAAAAUGUUCUUAUACUUUAAUUAGACGACAAGACCCUUUUGAACUUUACUUAAGUUUAGCUGGGGCAGCUAAAAAAUAAUUAUCUUUUUCCUUUUCAACAAAUUAAUGACCCAAAACAUUUGAUUAAUUGAUUAAGUUACCAUAGGGAUAACAGCGUAAUAUCUUUCUAAAGUUCUUAUUUAAAAAGAAGAUUGCGACCUCGAUGUUGAAUUAAUAUAACUUUAAGAUGCAAAAAUUUUAAAUAGUAGGUCUGUUCGACCUUUAAAAUAUUACAU
This 448-nucleotide ribosomal RNA is filed under the name Verrucosa arenata. RNAcentral's name for it is "partial 16S large subunit ribosomal RNA". It matches the Rfam family "Bacterial large subunit ribosomal RNA", at positions 1830 to 2601 of the family's 2925-position model. The record is from RNAcentral. Lineage: Eukaryota; Metazoa; Arthropoda; Arachnida; Araneae; Araneidae.